UUGAACGCUGGCGGAAUGCUUUACACAUGCAAGUCGAGCGGCAGCGCGGGGCAACCUGGCGGCGAGCGGCGAACGGGUGAGUAAUAUAUCGGAACGUACCCUGUCGUGGGGGAUAACACAUCGAAAGAUGUGCUAAUACCGCAUACGACCUGAGGGUGAAAGCGGGGGAUCGCAAGACCUCGCGCGAUAGGAGCGGCCGAUAUCGGAUUAGCUAGUUGGUGAGGUAAAGGCUCACCAAGGCGACGAUCCGUAGCUGGUCUGAGAGGACGACCAGCCACACUGGAACUGAGACACGGUCCAGACUCCUACGGGAGGCAGCAGUGGGGAAUUUUGGACAAUGGGCGAAAGCCUGAUCCAGCCAUGCCGCGUGAGUGAAGAAGGCCUUCGGGUUGUAAAGCUCUUUCAGCCGGAAAGAAAUCGCGCAGGCUAAUACUCUGCGUGGAUGACGGUACCGGAAGAAGAAGCACCGGCUAACUACGU
RNAcentral lists this ribosomal RNA (480 nucleotides) under uncultured bacterium. Its description in RNAcentral is "bacterial SSU rRNA". It matches the Rfam family "Bacterial small subunit ribosomal RNA", at positions 29 to 506 of the family's 1533-position model. The record is from RNAcentral.